This 1245-nucleotide ribosomal RNA is filed under the name Candidatus Phytoplasma sacchari. RNAcentral describes it as "bacterial SSU rRNA". It matches the Rfam family "Bacterial small subunit ribosomal RNA", at positions 153 to 1398 of the family's 1533-position model. Lineage: Bacteria; Bacillati; Mycoplasmatota; Mollicutes; Acholeplasmatales; Acholeplasmataceae. The record is from RNAcentral.
GAAACAGUUGCUAAGAGAUGAUAGGAAAUAAAAAAGGCAUCUUUUUUAUUUUUAAAAGACUUUUUCGGAAGGUAUGCUUAAAGAGGGGCUUGCGUCACAUUAGUUAGUGGCAGGGUAAGGCCUACCAAGACUAUGAUGUGUAGCUGGACUGAGAGGUUGAACAGCCACAUUGGGACUGAGACACGGCCCAAACUCCUACGGGAGGCAGCAGUAGGGAAUUUUCGGCAAUGGAGGAAACUCUGACCGAGCAACGCCGCGUGAACGAUGAAGUAUUUCGGUAUGUAAAGUUCUUUUAUUGAAGAAGAAAAAAUAGUGGAAAAACUAUCUUGACGAUAUUCAAUGAAUAAGCCCCGGCAAACUAUGUGCCAGCAGCCGCGGUAAUACAUAGGGGGCGAGCGUUAUCCGGAAUUAUUGGGCGUAAAGGGUGCGUAGGCGGUUUAAUAAGUCUAUAGUUUAAUUUCAGUGCUUAACACUGUCCUGCUAUAGAAACUAUUAGACUAGAGUGAGAUAGAGGCAAGUGGAAUUCCAUGUGUAGCGGUAAAAUGCGUAAAUAUAUGGAGGAACACCAGAGGCGUAGGCGGCUUGCUGGGUCUUUACUGACGCUGAGGCACGAAAGCGUGGGGAGCAAACAGGAUUAGAUACCCUGGUAGUCCACGCCGUAAACGAUGAGUACUAAGUGUCGGGAUUACUCGGUACUGAAGUUAACACAUUAAGUACUCCGCCUGAGUAGUACGUACGCAAGUAUGAAACUUAAAGGAAUUGACGGGACUCCGCACAAGCGGUGGAUCAUGUUGUUUAAUUCGAAGAUACACGAAAAACCUUACCAGGUCUUGACAUACUCUGCAAAGCUAUAGCAAUAUAGUGGAGGUUAUCAGAGAUACAGGUGGUGCAUGGUUGUCGUCAGCUCGUGUCGUGAGAUGUUAGGUUAAGUCCUAAAACGAGCGCAACCCUUGUCAUUAGUUGCCAGCAUGUCAUGAUGGGCACUUUAAUGAGACUGCCAAUGAAAAAUUGGAGGAAGGUGAGGAUCACGUCAAAUCAUCAUGCCCCUUAUGAUCUGGGCUACAAACGUGAUACAAUGGCUGUUACAAAGAGUAGCUGAAACGCAAGUUUAUAGCCAAUCUCAUAAAAGCAGUCUCAGUUCGGAUUGAAGUCUGCAACUCGACUUCAUGAAGUUGGAAUCGCUAGUAAUCGCGAAUCAGCAUGUCGCGGUGAAUACGUUCACGGGGUUUGUACAAACCGUGCGUC